CUCAGGAUGAACGCUAGCGACAGGCUUAACACAUGCAAGUCGAGGGGCAGCACAGGUAGCAAUACCGGGUGGCGACCGGCGCACGGGUGAGUAACGCGUAUGCAACUUGCCUAUCAGAGGGGGAUAACCCGGCGAAAGUCGGACUAAUACCGCAUGAAGCAGGGGCCCCGCAUGGGGAUAUUUGCUAAAGAUUCAUCGCUGAUAGAUAGGCAUGCGUUCCAUUAGGCAGUUGGCGGGGUAACGGCCCACCAAACCGACGAUGGAUAGGGGUUCUGAGAGGAAGGUCCCCCACAUUGGUACUGAGACACGGACCAAACUCCUACGGGAGGCAGCAGUGAGGAAUAUUGGUCAAUGGCCGAGAGGCUGAACCAGCCAAGUCGCGUGAGGGAUGAAGGUUCUAUGGAUCGUAAACCUCUUUUAUAAGGGAAUAAAGUGCGGGACGUGUCCCGUUUUGUAUGUACCUUAUGAAUAAGGAUCGGCUAACUCCGUGCCAGCAGCCGCGGUAAUACGGAGGAUCCGAGCGUUAUCCGGAUUUAUUGGGUUUAAAGGGUGCGUAGGCGGCCUUUUAAGUCAGCGGUGAAAGUCUGUGGCUCAACCAUAGAAUUGCCGUUGAAACUGGGGGGCUUGAGUAUGUUUGAGGCAGGCGGAAUGCGUGGUGUAGCGGUGAAAUGCAUAGAUAUCACGCAGAACCCCGAUUGCGAAGGCAGCCUGCCAAGCCAUUACUGACGCUGAUGCACGAAAGCGUGGGGAUCAAACAGGAUUAGAUACCCUGGUAGUCCACGCAGUAAACGAUGAUCACUAGCUGUUUGCGAUACACUGUAAGCGGCACAGCGAAAGCGUUAAGUGAUCCACCUGGGGAGUACGCCGGCAACGGUGAAACUCAAAGGAAUUGACGGGGGCCCGCACAAGCGGAGGAACAUGUGGUUUAAUUCGAUGAUACGCGAGGAACCUUACCCGGGUUUGAACGCAUUCGGACCGAGGUGGAAACACCUUUUCUAGCAAUAGCCGUUUGCGAGGUGCUGCAUGGUUGUCGUCAGCUCGUGCCGUGAGGUGUCGGCUUAAGUGCCAUAACGAGCGCAACCCUUGCCACUAGUUACUAACAGGUAAAGCUGAGGACUCUGGUGGGACUGCCAGCGUAAGCUGCGAGGAAGGCGGGGAUGACGUCAAAUCAGCACGGCCCUUACAUCCGGGGCGACACACGUGUUACAAUGGCGUGGACAAAGGGAAGCCACCUGGCGACAGGGAGCGAAUCCCCAAACCACGUCUCAGUUCGGAUCGGAGUCUGCAACCCGACUCCGUGAAGCUGGAUUCGCUAGUAAUCGCGCAUCAGCCAUGGCGCGGUGAAUACGUUCCCGGGCCUUGUACACACCGCCCGUCAAGCCAUGGGAGCCGGGGGUACCUGAAGUCCGUAACCGCGAGGAUCGGCCUAGGGUAAAACUGGUGACUGGGGCUAAGUCGUAACAAGUUAGCCGUACCGGAAGGUGCGGCUG
Molecule: ribosomal RNA, 1490 nt
Filed under: human gut metagenome
Description: bacterial SSU rRNA
Rfam family: Bacterial small subunit ribosomal RNA
Source: RNAcentral